GUGAACAUACUUACAACUGUUGUUUCGGCGGGUAGGCCGUCCCCUGAAAAGGACGCCUCCCGGCCCGGAACGGACCCCCUCGCGGGGCCCGGACCCGGCGCCCGCCGGAGGAUAACCAAACUNUAUUUUAACGACGUUUCUUUUGAGUGGCAUAAGCAAAAUAAUCAAAACUUUUAACAACGGAUCUCUUGGUUCUGGCAUCGAUGAAGAACGCAGCGAAAUGCGAUAAGUAAUGUGAAUUGCAGAAUUCAGUGAAUCAUCGAAUCUUUGAACGCACAUUGCGCCCGCCAGCAUUCUGGCGGGCAUGCCUGUUCGAGCGUCAUUUCAACCCUCAAGCUCUGCUUGGUGUUGGGGCCCCACGGUCGACGUGGGCCCUCAAAGGUAGUGGCGGACCCUCCCGGAGCCUCCUUUGCGUAGUAACAUUUCGUCUCGCACUGGGAUCCGGAGGGACUCUUGCCCGUAAAACCCCCCAAUUUUUCAAGGUUGACCUCG
This 492-nucleotide ribosomal RNA is filed under the name Colletotrichum sp. FLS-2010. Its description in RNAcentral is "eukaryotic LSU rRNA". The stretch from base 169 to 322 matches the Rfam family "5.8S ribosomal RNA". Lineage: Eukaryota; Fungi; Ascomycota; Sordariomycetes; Glomerellales; Glomerellaceae. The record is from RNAcentral.